This 386-nucleotide unclassified non-coding RNA is filed under the name Athalia rosae (coleseed sawfly). Its description in RNAcentral is "misc RNA ENSAEAG00005008228.1". The record is from RNAcentral. Lineage: Eukaryota; Metazoa; Arthropoda; Insecta; Hymenoptera; Athaliidae.
UUUGCUGAAUGAGAAGACAGGAAGGGGUUUGCCAAAAUGUUUACUAGACUGUGGGUGAUCCUUGAUGUUCAUAACUAAAUCCAUGUUAGGCAGAUCACCGAUCAAAGAUAUAAUAAAAUGCUCAAUUCCUGCACAUCUCGAUGGAAACAUACAUUCCUUUUCUCUGUAGAGUUUGCCAUUUAUUAUCUGGUAAACUUGCCUUGCUUUAGCAGCCUCGAUCAAUACCCUCGAGAUACCAGUUUCCCGGAAAGGCUUCAGAUCAGCUUCUAUGAUGUCUACGUAAAGUUCGCAGUUCUUAUGACUGGUGCAAUCUUCCGUAGACUCUUCGACAACAUUGUUUGCAGAGUGUAUCGCCUCUAGAUACAAGGAAUAUCUUUGCUCGUGCC